This is a non-coding RNA of Ceratotherium simum simum (southern white rhinoceros), 106 nucleotides long. The record is from RefSeq and is a predicted model, not a curated record. Lineage: Eukaryota; Metazoa; Chordata; Mammalia; Perissodactyla; Rhinocerotidae.
UUAGCAGGUUCCAACAAGGGCCAUCCCCAGUGGCCUAGUGUAAGUUCAGUGUGCUGUGCUUCAGUGGCCUGGGUUCGGUUCCCUGGCAUGGGCAUACACCUCUCAU